This 225-nucleotide ribosomal RNA is filed under the name Triticum aestivum (bread wheat). RNAcentral describes it as "partial small subunit ribosomal RNA". The record is from RNAcentral. Lineage: Eukaryota; Viridiplantae; Streptophyta; Magnoliopsida; Poales; Poaceae.
AUGCUCAAGGACCCUGUCAGGAUUGGAUGCCUCGUUUCGAUGGCCUUCAUGGUGCUCGGAACUAAAUACGAUUUGGUGUUGGAUCUGUUGCGUGUGGAAGGAUGUCAGAGGGAACGGAUUGGUUCAAUGGCGAGGGGUGUUGGGAUAAUGGGUGCUGGUGCAACAUGCUGCUUCGUCAUCAUACCCACUAUGCUACUGAGGCAAUGGAGGAUCAAGAUGAAGUAG